AUGAGUCUCCUUAGCUGGAACUGCCGGGGUCUGGGGCAACCCCGGACAGUUCAGGAGCUCGUGUGCUUGGUGCACACUCAUCGCCCAAAGAUUGUCUUCUUGUCCGAGACGCGGCAAUGUGAAGAGAAGGUGAAAGGAAUCAAGUGGAGACUGGGUUUGAAGCACUUCCUUUCUCAUGAUUGUAAGGGUAAGGGUGCGGGCAUUGCCUUUUACUGGGAUGAGUCAAUAAAAAUAAAAUGUUUGUCGUACGGACCGCGGUACUUUGAUGUGUUGGUUACUGAUGAUCCUCAUGGCCCUUCGUGGUGA
Molecule: ribosomal RNA, 306 nt
Filed under: Triticum aestivum (bread wheat)
Lineage: Eukaryota; Viridiplantae; Streptophyta; Magnoliopsida; Poales; Poaceae
Description: partial small subunit ribosomal RNA
Source: RNAcentral